UAACAUCGAAGUAAUAAAUUACAUUUAGUUUCGACCUAAAAUUAGAGAUUGAAAUCCUCCAUGUUUU
This 67-nucleotide transfer RNA is filed under the name Batracomorphus allionii. RNAcentral describes it as "tRNA-Arg". The record is from RNAcentral. Lineage: Eukaryota; Metazoa; Arthropoda; Insecta; Hemiptera; Cicadellidae.